UAGUCAUAUCUCUCUGAGACCUAGAGCUGUGCAGAUAAAAACAAAAAUGAAAAAGAACCCUUAGUGCUAUCAACUCCCUUCCUUCUGAAGUCAUCACAGCUCAGGUAAAGCAGUUCACUACAGAGUAAGUGCAGGCUGGGGUAUGUAAGAGCAGAGUGCAUGUUUGAUACCUACGAGAUUGUUCGCUGACUGUUACUGCCGUGCAAAAGGGUCACAUCAGAUAUUAGUAGCAAGAAAAUUCUAGAUGUCCCGAUAUCUAUCCACCCUUGUUCAUUUUUGGCUGUGCCUGUUUUGGGCUGCCUAGUGUGCAGCAGGUUGCUUACUAUUUUAAAAAUUCAAUAAAAAUAGGAGGGCAGCAAGCAGUGAGUGUAUAGUUGUGUUUAUACUGUGUAUGUACAGACAGAGCUGUAUAUCCUUGAUUGAAAUCCUCUGUUCAGCAGAGGCUCCUUUGGUUAGGUGCUUUGUAAAGAUUUAGUUUUUAAGUCCUGUCUGAGUCUACUCUCACUAUUCUCAGCUCUAUUUUGUAGCACUUGGCCAUGCAAAGUGAUGCUCCCAAACAGGGCAUUGGAGGAGAUUCAGCUCAGCAAAGCUGCAGGCAGAGCAGAACUUGUUGCCACUGUUUUCCAUAUGUUCCUCUCCAUGGGAGCCUGACUGGACCUCGACCUGAGGAAGACGCAAAAUGGAAACUUAAUGGACAAGCAAGUCCCACCCCCAGGGAAGGGGAUUAAAAUCUGUGUUCACAGGCUGAGAGCAGGUGUCUGUGAUGAGACCCCAUGCUGUGACAUGGAUGCAGCACAUUCUUACAUGAAAAGCCCUGGCUGAUGAAAUGACCACAGGAAGACAACAUGGACCCCUCCCAGCACAAUCAGAAGAAGCUUAAUUAAGCUCUGUGGUUAAUUUUGAAACAAGGUGCUUCUCAAACAUGAAAGAAAGCUCCAUCUGAGAAAUUCAUUAGCCAAAUUAGAGGUAAAAUAAUGAGGGGUGAGAAGGAGGUAGCAAGGGAUGGGGGUGAGAGGGAAAAUGUGGACAAGGAUAGCUAGAGACAGUUCUCUGAUAGGGUAGCCGAUUAAAACAAUGGUACUGUACCUUGACUAAUGUUGAGCUAAUUAAAACGGUAUAGGACAAAGCACUUCUAAAUAUACUAUGGGGAUCAAUCUUGCUUUGGUAAAUCCAUCCCCAGUGGUAUUUCAUUGAAUUCAGUGGGUUUUCUUCUGGGAUGAAUUUGUACUGAUAACCUAAUAAUUCUUUUCUGUCUUUAAUUUCUAAGGAUGUUUUGUCAGAAGCAUGGCAAGGAACUUCAGUCUGGCUUUCAAAAGUGCUGAACACCCAAACUCCUACCAAGGCCUCCUGAAAUUACAGCAGUGACCCCACAUUUCAGAGGCACAGCGGGAGCUCAAGUGGCAUACAAGCUGUGAGACCCAGAGUGUCCAAGCUGGGCUUUGCCCAGGGAAAGAGAGACGCAGGUACCUCGGCAUAAGCUGCAUCCUAACAAGGGUAGGAACUGUGCCAGGAGAGUAUGUUCCCGUGCCUUUUAAUAAGGGGAUGGUAAACAGAAGGUCAGGCCCCCCACCCCAAGCCAUGGUGCUGUAUUGCAGUCAGUCAGUGAAGCAUCCAGAUGAAGCCUUCCACUACACCAGCCCUUUGGAUGAGAGAAAUUUUGUUUGACUCCAGUUAGUACUUGUAUACUCCCCUGGAAGUUGUCCUGCAGUGUUUCCAUACCAGCCCUUCCUUCACCUUUUGCCACAAGCCAACUAUGGACAUUUGUUUGUUUGCAUAAGGUACAGGCACAUACUUUUAAAAAGAUCUUAUCCCACAGCUAUGUCAAGUUCCCAACACCAUUUCAUCAUCUAAAAUGUUUCAUUCUUUGCAGCUGAAGUGAGAGCCUGUUGCCUGCUUACAGUGACUGAUAAAAUGGUAACCACAAGAAGUGUGUGUGGGCUGGUUCACGACCCUGAAAAAACCAUCCAUGCAAUAAUCCUUGUCUUUGGUCUACCACUGAUCUAGCCAUAAAGAAAUUGACAGAUUUUUGUUACCUAACAGCACCCUUUUCUGGGAGAUAUAUAAGGAAACUUAAAUAACAGGUCUCUAUGGGAAGCAUAUGGUACAGCAGCAGAAAAUUGUGACUCCAGUAGUGGGACUCCGCCAUGGUAACCUCCCUCAACAUGGGGAAUACAUGUGUCCUCUCCUAGUCGGUCUGUGUUUUCAACCUCUUUUAAAGAGACAAUAAAUUCUUUCAAUGGACAAAUGCUCACUGGAAAAAGAGAUCGCUUUCCCAGGGCAGGGCUGGACUUCAUUAUGCCUACUGAGGCUCUGCUUAGGCUCCACUCUUCCAGGAGUGUGGAUGGUUCUCCAGUUCAUCUCAGGCUCACUGAAAACCUGUGCUCACUUUUUUUUUUUUUUGGUCUGAUCCUAUUGCUUAAAUACAAACUCGGACACUUGGCUGGUUCUGCUCAUACAGCAGCAGACAGCAGCUUCUCCUACACCCUCUGACAUCUUGAGGAUUGGCACUUCCACUCUUACAAUGAGGAGAACUGGCAGCAGGAAGUUCAAGGAAGGCAGAGAUGAGAAGAAAGAGGAAUUCCUGCCAGACACUCCAGGAAUGUUGAAUUGUCUCUUUGGGUCUACAUCUCCUGACUGCAUGUCAAUCUAGGAAGAAGAGCUCACAAAUCAACCCCUUCUCAGGUGCUUUGAACCAACUCUUAAAUUUCAGGAAAAGCCACACUUGGGUAAGCAACGUAAGAUGAUGCACCAAGCCACACACAUGGGAGUGCCAGGCAAACUGUUCAGUAUGGAAUGUUGUGAGUGACAGGAGACAGAUGUACAUAAACCUCACUGGACACACAGGUUUCCCUCUGCUUUAGGGAACACACAAGUUCCAGUUUCUUCCCUGAAGAUCUUCCCAUUGCAAGACUCUGCUCUUAUGUUCUCAGAACAUUGCCAGGUUAAGUUGUUUAAACAUUUAAUGGUUAAAUCAUUAAACUGAGUAUUUUUCUUUCCCUGUUGUCCAUGCAAAGCUAAAGCUUUGGGAGAAACUCAAUCAAAAUAUUUUAAGUUUUUGGGUUUUCUAUGAAGUUGAGAUUGAAAUCAAGGAAAGUUAUUUGUCUGGAAAAACAAAAAACAUACAGCCUUCAUUCAGAUGCCCUAACACUGUGCUGCUUGAAACUGAGUAUCUGCUUUCAGGAUGUUACUGUGCAUAUGCUUGUUUGCCAUUUUAGUGGACAUUUUUCUCAAAUGUGGCGAAUUGUAUACAUAUAUAUACAUAUAUAAAAUAAAAAUCACCAUAUGUCUGUGUCUGAAGAAGACUUCUUGAAGCUUAGCAAUUGAAGUAUCUGAAGAGUCCUACUUUCAGAACCUUCCAGUGAGGAUGCUUCAUCCUCUCAUGCCUAGAGACCAAAUGAAAUGGUCUUGCUACCAGGCGACUUGGCAUGUUCCAGCCAGCAAUACAACCUAGCCCUUCCUUACAGUGGAUGAAGGAUAGUGUGCUACUGCCGAAGGAGAACAAAGCUAGGGAAUUUUCUUUUUCAGUUACAAUAUCUAGAACUGUUAAUGCCCAGAGAAAAAGGCAUGAAUGGGAUGAGAUAGAGUUUUGGGCAAAGGCUGAGCAAGGGAGAUCAUAUGAACUUUAAUAUCAAUAUUUUCUCAUUUUAAACCUGUUUUAUUCUGGUAUCUUUGUAUUCUUUAUUUACGAUGCAAUUAUGUGCAUUUAAAAUAUCCUUAUUAUUUACAGGCAAGCACAGUAAUAGUAAAAUACAUGCAUUGUUUUCUUGCCCUGUAGCUCCAUAGAAGGUUUAUGAAAUUGUCUGUGACAGUUCCUUGACGGGAAAAACCAGAGAUAUUACUAUAGUAACAUUCAAAGGUGAUUGCAACAAAAAUAAAUUAAUUCAAACUAAGGCAAUAUUUGCUCACAUAACAUGAGUCAUGUGGAUUGUGAAUUCCUGACAACGGUGAAGAAGGAAAAAAUCAUCAAGGAAGAAUGACAAUGUGUCCUCACUCCAUACUGCAGAAUCCAAAGGCUCUCACUGUCAACCAAGGAAAAAACAAUAACACAAAAGUGGAACAUAUAUUCCUGUUUAGCAGACUUAAGUUAUGCACUAAAAGUGGGCCAAGUUCACUUUCACAUAUGCUUUGGGUUGCCUCUUGAUUUCUGUGCAAGGGCCUGUUUAUAGCAGGGAUUUAUCUGUGCAGAGAGGGAUCCAGCAUCCCUUGGAUCAAGCUGUGAAUAUGAAUGAUGCUUCAGAGAUUUUCAUCACAGAUCAGAAAUGUGCAGAAAUAAUCUAAAAGCAGAUUUUACCCUGCACAAGAACCUGGCAUCAAAUGUGGGCAUUCCUGUUCUACUCCCAGUAAAGUAUACAUAAUAAUAAAAAUAAAUGUAAAGCCUCUGUGCUCCUGCAGACCUCUGAGCUCUUAAACAGAUAAAACCAAGGUGCCAAAUUCUGCUUUUCCUGUGCAGCUCCAUUGAUGUGCCAGGGAUACAGAGUCUGACAUUAGGAGGUUAGCAUAGUGCAGGUGGGAUGCAGAACACCACAGAAGGACAAGAUUAUGAUUUUUCCAUACAGAAAGCCUGAGGAGGGGCUCCUGCUUUGCAUGAUUUCUCGUUAGAUGACAGGUGAAGAAAAAAAAUGAAUAGAAGACUGCAUUUCUCUCUAAUGUGCUGUAGCAGUUUGGCUUGAUACAAUGGCAGCUGUGAGCCUUGGGAGAUGCUCCUCGAUACUGUGAAGGCACAGGGAAAAUGCAGCCAUAUCACACACAGAGUUCCCUGUCUCUCUGCCCCUAAUAUAGGCUACAUUUACUCAAGAAUGGGCAAAACAUGAUUCAGACGCCAUCAACACACCAAAAUAAAUUGUAUUGUCUUGCCUCAUAAAUCAAGGAAUGGCUCUCAUAUAGAGUGAUUUGCCCAACUGCCAUUCUCAGCCUACCUGAGAGUCUGAAUCCAGGAGAGGCAAUUCCACAAGCAGUUAGCUGCCUUGGUGGAGGGGAAUGCCAUGCAUCCAAGGGCAUGGGGUGGGGAGGUAGAGGAGGACAGGACAGAGGCAAGGGGAAGAAUUUAACUCUAUCCUCUAAAAUCCAACCCUCUACUUCAAGAAAAAAUAUUUUUAAUUACCUUGACAGCCAGUGUAGCCAGCUCUGAAGUGGAAAACUUCAAAGAAAUUGUACUUCUAUUGCCUAAAUUUUAAUUAGUCUGUGGGUAAACGGGAGCUUUGAAGUUGUCUACACAGCAAUUUCUAUGUGCCCUGUUGACUUGAAGAAACCAAAGACUCCAGCAAUAUUCAAAGCCACCCUCUGCAGACACGUAAACGAUUCCACAAAGUGCCAAUGUGGGGAUUUAGGUCUUAGCCUGAAGAUCUUUUCAAGGAUGUGCAUACUAAUUCCAAAAAGAGACCUUCCAUGCAGACCUACAGGUGUCCAAAGAACAGGUGCAAAGUCAGGUUCCCAGAAGUGUCGAGAGCUGCAGACCCAGCACAGACCACUGAGUCGUAGCUCAGGCUGAGAAGCUCUGAGCAAUAAAUUUGUGUAAGUGACAAAAUCCUCCAGAUUGUAGGAAAAUCACAUGGUGCUCAUUUCCAUGAUAAUUCGUGCUUUGGUUGAGCUACUUUUGACUUACAGUGAGAGAUGAAUUUGACCUGCUCUCUCUUUCUCAUCUGCUGGGCUGCAGCUGUGCCCUCUAGCACUGUAUAUGUAUUCCAAGCUCAUCUAGAUGUUGAAACAAAAGCACAAAUUAGAUGACAAUCUUCCAUUCUUUCUGUGUGCUGCCAAUACCUGUUUGUCACUAUAAUGGUAUUAAUCAUCUUUUAUUUAUAGCAGAACAUUGGAAGCUCCCAUUUUUCCCUUUUGAUUUAUUUGUAGGACAACAGGUGCACAACUUAAGCAGGUGUAUGGAUGUGUGCAUAUGUUGUGAGUUUGCUGAUAGCCACAAAACAUCUUUAGUAAAUUAUUACUUGUAUCAAAGCUGCCAUUAUUUUUAUUUCACGCCUAAACUUAAUUCCACAGCUGUUAGCUCCCACACUCCAUUAGCUGUUUUGUGUCACAACUGCAGUAAUGCAGCUCAGGGAUGUAAGACCUCUUCUCUCACUCUCCAAAAGCCCACACAAACAAAACAUCUCUAAAUCAUACACUGCUUCCAGUUUCUUCUGAAACUUGGGAGAGGUACUGAAAAUGUAUCAACAGUUUCCAUUGGCAACUGCUGCAGAAUAGCAUGUUACUGGUUCAACAGCUGACAUGAAAUGCCUUUCCAUAUGUAAAGCUCUGCCUUAAACACACAAGGGACACGAAGAAAAAAACUUCGUACUUGCUUUUUCUUUUGUCUAACAGUAAAUGGGUAGUGUUGAAGUGCUGGAUGCUUUGAAAAAAUGCAGUUAUAAUUUUGGAUCCAAGCUGUGAGAACGCUCAUUGGAGACAACUGUUCUCCCAUGGGCUAGCCUUGAAUAAACAAUCACAGCUCUGUGUGAUAUUAGUUCUUAACCAGAUUCUAGCAUUGAGCUGUUGCCUCGCCAUGGUUACUUGCCUUUUAAACCAAUGUUUCUUUUCCUUGUUUUUUGCCAAGAUUCUUGCUUGCUUGGCAGUGGCUCAUUCUCGUUUGAACUUUUGCCCUAUUUUAAUCUCCACCAAAUUUUUACUCUAAAAGAACCUUUUCACUGAUAUCUCUUUGUUGCCCUGAAUUUCUUUUCUGUGUGUGAGAACUUACUCGGGGACAUGGCUUACGGGAAAGAGACCAAGUGACUGUCUUCUUCUGAGUAUCCAGCAGCUGGCAGACAUCUGUGAGAUUAGAAAACAUAGCCACAACAGCAUAAGACAGUAGCCACUCCCAAAACAAAACUAAAUAGGAAAUCAGGAGACACACAAACUACCAGGUCAUUCACUUGGAGAUUUAUUUGUGCUUGUCAGCUCCUGAGCUUGCCUUACUCCUUCAUCUGAGGAUAACCUCGUCAAAACCCAUGUAAGGGCAUCACUCUGACACACACAUUCCAACCCAGAAUCCCUCACUUGUCCUGUGCCUCUGGAGCUGACAGAGCACUGGGGGUCCCAUGGAUCAUAUUAAAGCCCUAAGGAAGGGGAACAUACCUCUGGUUGCUUUGAGUCAAUUCUCCAGGCAAUCCAGAAGAAACACACCAACAGUUUCUACAAAAAAAGCUAAAAUUCCUCCUUUACAAGAAAAGUAUGUUAUCUUGAAAUAUCUUUACUAUUUUUUGUUGUUGUUUUUUGUGGAGAUUCUUAAAUGAGAAAAUUAAUGGGAAAUUGCUGAAGGCCCUCCAAAAAUUUCUAGCCCCAUAGUUGAUUAACAUUAUUUCUGCUGCUGAAAAAGAAAAAACCUUCAGCUUUGUCUUAGUUGCUUAUUCAACUUCUUAUUCCUUGGCAAAUGUCACUGCAUGGUUGCCUAAAGGAAAGUGCAUGUGUAUAAUAUACAUGUGUUAUGAACAAGCUUCCUGGACGGGAGGGGCUGGGCUGCCCCUGUCCUGGCCCCGUGGAGGACGGUCGCCCAGUCCACCUGGGGAAAGCGUGGAGAACACAUUGGCAUGUUAAAAGAGCUCUGGGAGUGCAGCCCCCCUCCUCCCAAUUUGUGCCUUCACCCAGCCUUUUGGAAGAAUGGGGGUUUCUCCUGGUUGUAACCCCCACACCCUAGCAAGUUUGAAGACAGAGGGAAGCUGCCCCAAAGGGAAAGGCAGCAUUCUUCUACCUCAUUAAAAUGUGAAAAGGAGCGGCUCCGGCCUUGAUGGCCCAGCCACUGUUUGCUGUAACUACCUCAGAGGGAUACCUCUGCUUCGGGAUACCUCUGCUUCGACCAAGACCAAUGCAUAUGCAUUUUUAUAUGCAAAUAAAACUGCCCCUGUGAAUCCUGGGAGAGUUUUUUUGGAGAAACUGCACCCCAAGACAAGAAGCUAGAUGUGUCAGAGGAGAAUUAGAUAGUGCCCUAGCCGAGCAAGAAGUAGAUGCACCCCCUGGCCUGGUUUGAAGAAUCACCACAACCUGAGCUUAGAUACAAUGGGAACUGGCUAGCUGAAUUGACUUAGGCAGAAAAUAGGAAACUCUUGAAACUUUUCCCUGAGGGCAAAGAGCUGACUGCCACUGCUCUGCCUUCUGAUGGUUGACCAGAGAGAAUUGCCAGCUGUGUCUAUGGGAACAAGGACUCAGCAUCCACUGGGACAGCACCUGCUCCUUCAGAUGGCUGCAGCAGCGUGGAAAACUCCGAUCGGACUCUGCAAUCCUGCUGAUGACUUUAAUAAUGAGCUGAUCACUUUAAUAAAGAGCUGAAUAUUAAUAAAGGCAUAUGCCCUGUUCUUUUCACAUGUGCUUAUGUGGAUGAAUACAUACAAAAGUACAAAACCACAACAUAAGUAUUUCAUUCUAAUAGUUGGUUUUGGCAAAAUCCAUUUUCUUACCAGAAGCAUAACUUUCAAUUUUGCAGUGUUAAUAAAAUCACUGUUAUUACAAUUUAUUAAUCUCUCAGUCUUGGCUGUAUCAUUUGGGCUGAAUGUUUUAAUAUAAAAUAAAACACAGUUUAAACCUCUAGGACAACAUACAUUGUUUGUGUGCUGCAUGUAAAAUGAACCAGAGUAACAUCCUGCUGGCAUGUGCAUU
Long non-coding RNA from Prinia subflava (tawny-flanked prinia), 8574 nucleotides. RefSeq lists it as uncharacterized. The transcript is spliced from 7 exons. Lineage: Eukaryota; Metazoa; Chordata; Aves; Passeriformes; Cisticolidae. The record is from RefSeq and is a predicted model, not a curated record.